UCUUGACCAAAUUACGUGCCAGCAGUCGCGGCAAUACGCAGAAGACAAGUGUUAUUCAUCUUUAAUAGGUUUAAAGGGUACCUAGACGGGAAAUCAAGCCAUAAUAGGAACUAAUUUUCUAGGGUUUUAUGGAAGAAAGUCGAAUAUCUGGAGUAGAGAUAAAAUAUUAUGAUACCAGAGAGACGGGUAACGGCGUAGGCAGCUUUCUAUGUAAAAACUGACGUUGAGGAACGAAGCCCUGGGUAACGAUAAGGAUUAGAUACCCCAGUAGUCCAGGGAGACAAUGAUGAAUGCCAUAGGCUAGAUAAAUUAGUCUAUAAAUGAAAGUGCAAGCAUUCCACCUUAAGACUAAAGCGGCAACGCCCAAAUUGAAAUCAUUAGACCGUUCCUGAAACCAGUAGUGAAGUAUGUUAUUUAAUUCGAUGAUCCGCGAAUAACCUUACCACGUUUUGAAUACUAUUCAAUUAAUACAAGCGCUGCACGGCUGUCUUUAGUUAAUGUCGUGAGACUUUGGUUAACUCCUUUAAUUAACGAAAACCCUUGUUUUAUUUAUAC
This 555-nucleotide ribosomal RNA is filed under the name Agonimia flabelliformis. RNAcentral's name for it is "bacterial SSU rRNA". It matches the Rfam family "Bacterial small subunit ribosomal RNA", at positions 491 to 1120 of the family's 1533-position model. Lineage: Eukaryota; Fungi; Ascomycota; Eurotiomycetes; Verrucariales; Verrucariaceae. The record is from RNAcentral.